UUGUUGUACUAUUAAACUCUUAAUUAUUCAGUACCCCGAACCAGAAGAUAGACAUGCAUAUCAUUUUCCAGUUCUGAUUAAUUUUACGUGUAUGAUGAAUUCGAUUGUAGAGAUAAGGUUGAAACGACAAGUCGCAUAUCUCGUAGAAGUCAAGGAAUUCCACCAGAAUUGAGUGAUGGCCUCAUUGAUAAAAUUGACGCAAGGAAAUUGUCGAAACAGUCCGCUACUUGUGAGGAGUUUUCGUGCGAUGGUAUGGUUAAAACAAUAAGAAGUUUGAGAAGAAAUGAUCCCUUAUUGGAUACAAGUAUACAACACUUACUGAUUGGCAAGUUGAUCUGGAAAGGUUAGAGUUGAACCCCAAUGGCAGAACACAAGUAGUGAAAGGUGCCAUUUCAGCUGUGAAGUUUCUUCCCGCAGCGAAUAUGAAAGUAAUUGUUGUAGGCGAUGAGCUUGGCUAUUUUGGGCUAUGGAACAUGGAUUUUGAAGAGGAGAACGGGGACAUUGGAAUUUAUCGGUUUCAACCUCACCAUUCCAAAAUAUCUGGAAUUUCAAUUGAGCCAUUCUCCAUGUUGAAGCUAUUUACUUCAAGUUAUGAUCAACGUAUUACGUUGCUGGAUGUUGAAAAGGAGGCUUUCAAAGAUGUAUAUCAGGAUACUUAUGCAAUAUAUUCCAUAUGUCAUCGAGUAGAGGACGUAAACUGUUUAUAUUUUGGCGACGAAGUUGGAGUGUUAAAAAUAUUUGAUGUAUGAGCUAGCACACUAUUAUCACUAAAAUGGGGAUUGCACGAAGAGAGAAUCGAUACGAUACAUUGCAAGCCAGAUGAUCCUAAUAUUGUAAUUACAAGCUCGGUAGAUAGGACUUUCUCUGUGUGGACUUGAGGAGUAUUAGGAGAGAUCAACUAAAGUCAUUAACUAUUGGACAUGGCGGUCCAAUUCAUUCCGCGUACUUACCUUUUUGGAGUUUUCUUGCAACAACAAGGUUUGUGCUACUAGUGAAGCCCCUUUGAUUCCUAAUUUCCUACAUACAGGAAAUGCUUUAAGAAUUUUGACAGAAAAGAGGGAAUAAAAGCUGCUUAUUUAGGAAAUAAAAAUCGAAUGUUCUACUUCACUAGUAUGUCAUAUGAAAUUAGAUAAUUCAGUGAAUUCAGAUUUCAAAAUUACUUCUAAUCCUAGAAGUACUUUCAAAACAAAUAUUUGAUAGUGCAAUGCUUCAAAAGAAUAUUGUUAAUGUUUUUAGAAGGUAUAUUCUAGUGAAGAUGUUUUUGUAGGAAAUUUUAAGAGGAAAGGUCUUCAUAGUAAAAGCAUCAAACCACUCUUAUCAGUUUGUUCUUUUGCUUACUUUUCUUGAGAAACUUGACCGUUUGUUUUGAUUCUAUCAACUGUUUGGUAUCUCCUCGAUCAGUAGUUAUGUUGGUAAUUUCAUGUUUAACACAGCUUGGAAAAUACUAUUGGUCUAUUUGGAGGAGAAAACUAUGAGGAGUAGUUCCUGAUACCCCACAACAACCUAAGUGGUGAAUAUAUUUCCACAUUAAGAGCAAUCUGGGGCUGGGAUGACUCAUAUGAGUACAUUGGCAAGAUUGAGGAAAAGCAGAAGCAUAAAAGAAAAAGAAAGCUCAAAAAAUUAGAGGUGAUUGAUGACAAUAUUGAUAACGUUGAAAAGAAGAUUGAUGAUGACAAAAAUGGAGUCGAUAUCAUCUCUACGGUUGAGAAGAAGGUUGUGUGUACUUUGCAAAGUGAUGAUAUGCCUACUGUUCCAUACUGUUUGGCUGCUCAUCCUUAUAUGGUUGGAACACUUGCUGGUGCCACAGGCAAAGGUAAUGUAUGUAUGUGGGCAGAAGAAGUUGCAGAUCCAGAAUCUUGAGUUUAUAGGUUCUGAAUUCGAAAAAAGCGGUUUACUGGAGUGUGGAUAAACAAUUUAUACAUAUUCUGUGAGUUCUUAACACAAAUACAGGAUUUUGGUCAAAACUAUUUGGUUCGCCGAAACCGCCUCUGGAUAGAAGCUUGACACUCACUAUGUUUUCUUAAGGACAAUGUAUUUGUUUCUAUUUUGAGAUAUGCUCUGGUGAAGUAGCUGUUGACAUGCAUAGUGUAAAUAUCUAAUUGUUUUAUCUUUUUUUUU
Molecule: non-coding RNA, 2118 nt
Organism: Nicotiana tabacum (common tobacco)
Lineage: Eukaryota; Viridiplantae; Streptophyta; Magnoliopsida; Solanales; Solanaceae
Source: RefSeq, a predicted model, not a curated record